AAUGGCUGCAGUAAUUUGACUGUACAAAGGUAGCAUAAUCAUUAGUUUUUUAAUUAAAAGCUUGUAUGAAAGGUUGGACGAAAUAAAUUCUGUCUCUUUUUAAUAAAAUUAGAAUUUAAUUUUUAAGUUAAAAAGCUUAAAUAUUUAUAAAAGACGAGAAGACCCUAUAGAGUUUUAUAAUUUGAAUUUAUUAAUUAAUUUAGAUUUAUUAAUUUUAUUUUUUUUAAAUUAUUUUAUUGGGGUAAUAGAAAGAUAAAAAAAAUUCUUUUUCUAUAAAAUCAUUAAUUUAUGAAAAUUUUAUGAUCCAUUAAGUUUUGAAUAUAAGAUUAAAUUACCUUAGGGAUAACAGCGUAAUUUUUUUUAAGAGUUCAUAUCGAUAAAAAAGUUUGCGACCUCGAUGUUGGAUUAAAGAUUAAUUUAGGUGUAGAAGUUUAAAUUUUUGGUCUGUUCGACCAUUGAAUCUUUACAUGAUCUGAGUUCAAACCGGUGUAAGCCAGGUUGGUUUCUAUCUUUAUUAAAAUUUUAUAUUUCAGUACGAAAGGACCAAUUAUAUUAUAUAUUUAUAUUUAAAUUAUUGAAUAU
This 582-nucleotide ribosomal RNA is filed under the name Trechus cardioderus. RNAcentral's name for it is "partial 16S ribosomal RNA". The stretch from base 342 to 500 matches the Rfam family "Bacterial large subunit ribosomal RNA", at positions 2473 to 2632 of the family's 2925-position model. Lineage: Eukaryota; Metazoa; Arthropoda; Insecta; Coleoptera; Carabidae. The record is from RNAcentral.